AUGUCUUCCUCAAGCUCCCGCGCCACCUCGCGGAUGCAGAGUCGGGCGCGUGUGGACAUGCCUGUCUUCGUCUGUCCGCGGUGCCGGGCGGUCGUUGAUCGGAGGGUUUCUCAGACACCGAGGAACCAGAAUCGUCCGUUCUACGUGUGCAGCGAGAAUGGGGUGACAUGCUUUUUUCUUUGGGUCGAUGCUCUGGCCAAGACUCUGAUGAAUGAACUGCAAGAAGAGCAUGAAGAAUGGUUGCGCAUGCUGCCACGAACGGCAGUGGCCGCACCACGAGCUCCGGAAGAAGAGAUGGAGGGCGAAGCA
RNAcentral lists this ribosomal RNA (309 nucleotides) under Triticum aestivum (bread wheat). Its description in RNAcentral is "partial small subunit ribosomal RNA". The record is from RNAcentral. Lineage: Eukaryota; Viridiplantae; Streptophyta; Magnoliopsida; Poales; Poaceae.